This 304-nucleotide long non-coding RNA is filed under the name Manihot esculenta (cassava). RNAcentral's name for it is "long non-coding RNA (MESC_LNC013101)". Lineage: Eukaryota; Viridiplantae; Streptophyta; Magnoliopsida; Malpighiales; Euphorbiaceae. The record is from RNAcentral.
GACAUGUCUUUUCUUUCCUUUCUCAUGAACAUCUUUUAAGGAUUCUGACAGCAUUAAUUGAGAAUUCGGCUCUGUCUUGUCCUGCAAAACAUAAACUUUUGGAUAUAUAUAUUAACCUCACCUCUUUACCAUUCCCAGGCACUUUGUUGGAACAGAGAGAUUUUCUUGUUUUAUCUGUGAAGGAUCCAUUUGGUGCCUUCUUCAAGCGGGCGAAGGCGAGCUUGAUAUUACAUUGCUGUGUUGCCCCAGGAAUUUGUUUUAAUCUUACUUUUAUCAUCUCGACGGCAAAUUGUGCUAACUUAUC